This 460-nucleotide ribosomal RNA is filed under the name uncultured bacterium. Its description in RNAcentral is "partial 16S ribosomal RNA". It matches the Rfam family "Bacterial small subunit ribosomal RNA", at positions 338 to 795 of the family's 1533-position model. The record is from RNAcentral.
CCUACGGGAGACAGCAGUGAGGAAUAUUGGUCAAUGGCCGGAAGGCUGAACCAGCCAUGCCGCGUGAAGGUCAGUGCCCUAUGGGCGUUAAACUUCUUUUGUGCGGGAGCAAUAAUGGUCACGUGUGGCCAGACGAGAGUACCGUACGAAUAAGCAUCGGCUAACUCCGUGCCAGCAGCCGCGGUAAUACGGGGGAUGCAAGCGUUAUCCGGAUUUAUUGGGUUUAAAGGGUGCGUAGGCUGUGAGGUAAGUCAGCGGUGAAAUGCCCCCGCUCAACGGGGUGAAGUGCCAUUGAUACUGCCUGGCUGGAAUGCGGAUGCCGUGGGAGGAAUGUGUGGUGUAGCGGUGAAAUGCAUAGAUAUCACACAGAACACCGAUUGCGAAGGCAUCUCACGAAUCCGCGAUUGACGCUGAUGCACGAAAGCGUGGGUAUCAAACAGGAUUAGAUUCCCCUGUAGUC